GUGGUUGGAGGAUUGGUAGGUCCAUUAUCAUAUGUCACACGAUUAUCAAGUGCAGAUAAUACUCCCCUAGAUGACUAUAACAAAGUAUAUUUAGUUUCAAACAUUUAAAAAGUGUAAGCUAACAUAUAUAACAGAUCAUCCCCAUGGCAAAAAAUUGAGAAUACAUAUGAGAAAUUGAUACCUCCAUGUAGACAGUGGUUGCAUUGAGAGUUGGACCAGGCAUUAGAGCAGUGACAAAUACAGCAACUGAAAUCUUUUCGAGAAAACUUUCCAUGGCUUUAGAUAUGGCUAACCCACCAUGGCUAUGGCCAACAAGAACCACUUUUUCAUGUGCUGGAAGAGAAGCCAUGAACUUCAUUAGUGGACUAAAGUAAUCGGAUAAAUGUUGGACUUGGAGGACCUGCUUAGGGUUGAUUCCUGAAGCACCCAAGUCAAUAGCUGUGACAUUAUGUCCUGAAGAUCUCAUUAAUGCCACAAUCUUGUACCAAGACCAGGCUCCAUUGCCUGCCUUGUGAACUAGCACAAAGUGCUUGCUAGCUUUAGGAAAUUUAGACCCUGACAAGGUUGCAUUUACAUAUGGCAACAGAAGUAUUAGAACUACUAGACUUGUUAGAUACAUAUUUUUCUCCAUGUCUUUGUAUCCUUCUUUUGAAGAAUGAGCACAUAAAGGUUUCUUAACGGAUGUGUCAAGUUAAUAUGGCCCUAGUAAAAUGAAACCGAGGGAGAAGAUGAAGAAAUUGAAUUGAUUCAUGAUGGUAUUUAUAGCUUUGGAAAAAGGAAUUGCAUUUCGUGUUUGAGCAUUUUAAAAAAAAUAAAUUAAAGUGCACGUAGCAUACAAUCUUUAAUGAAAGGUGGCAUUUAGAUUUUAGUUCCUCCUAACCUAAAUUUUCGGCUAGCUAGCUAGGACCAAGUUUUGGUAACAGUGAUAAAUAAAAAGUGUAAGGAUUUAAUUGUUGAGAAAAGUAUGAGCUUGAAGAGAAAGAGGGUCCUGGGAGGGGGUAAGAGUGGCUAUAAUUUUAAUGGUUCGACUCACAUAGACCUCCUUACACUCUGCUACUAUGACCUGCAUUUGUACACAAUAACUCCCAGUUCCUGCACUGUUUAUUCAUUUAUAAAGUUGUGGAUUGAGGUAAAUGGCAUCAACGAGCUUUUGCUCAUCUACAGCAUAUUCCUCAUUCAUAUUGUCCUCCUCCCCAUUGACGAGAUUUAACUGUUUGGUCUUGAACUAAAUUUAAGUAAUUACAGGAAAUUGAGGUCCUUUAUUGAUGUAAAUUUCAAACACUGAAAUAACAAUGAAGGAAAUAACAACCGAAAGAAAAUUGAAAUAUCAAAUUAACUAGGACUUCUAUGGAAGAAACUGAGUCGUCAUAUAAAUGCAUCAAAUAUGUGAAUUGACUGAAGUUUUAUUCUCAGCCUUAAGCCUGUCCCCCUUAUUCUUCUUAACUAACAGCUCUUAAUUAGCUAUACUUGUUGGCAAUGCUCAGAAGAGUAGUAAAAAGUUGUUUGGGCUUAGACAUAAUCAUCAUGUGGUCGGAGCCCUGGAUCUCUUCCACUUCAUUUGAUGGAUUCUUUUCAAUCAUCAAUUUUAGAAAUUCCUUUGUCAGGGCAUUAUUUUCAGCAGCAACAAUAAACACUCGCCUAACUAAUCCAUAUCUUUUCCUUGUAAGAACUAUCUCCUUAGAAACAUCUUCCGCGUUGUAUAAAUAAAAUGGCCUUACUAGUGUAGUGGCCAGUGCCAAAUCCUAACACCAAGAAGGAAAAACAUGAUUUAAAUUAGGCUUAGUUGAUGUUGCGGGUUAAGUACUUGAAUAGAUCUGUAAUUUGUAUAAACUACUGAAAUCUUCCAAUAGCCAAUAGGUGAUGCCUACUAGUAAUUGUUUGCCAAAGAAGUCAGUCAGUCAUUUAGGGCCAUUCUCAUGACCAGAAUAACAUAAUGUAUUCGCUACUUCAAUUACAAUAUAAAUUUGUAUUAUGAUUUGCUUACCUCAUUCGAACUCAGCUGGUAAAAAUUAGUUGCCAAGUACUUUGGACCUGAGAUGAGGGUGGUUGGAGGAUUUGUAGGUCCAUUGUCGUAUGUAACAUGAUUAUCAAGUUGAGUGCUUACUGCACUGACUACCUAUAACGAAGUAUAUUUAGUUUCAACCAUGUAAAAGUUUAAACAAACUUAAUAGAUCAUCUCAUGGCUUAAAGUUGGGAAUAUGGAAAAUUGAUACCAUAGUGUAAAGGGUGGCUGCAUUGAUAUUUGGACCAGGCAUUAGAGCAGUGACAAAUACAGCAACUGAAAUCUUUUCUGGGAAAGUUUCCAUGGCUUUAGAAAUGACGAGUCCACCAAAGGCAUGACCUACAAGAACUAUUUUUUUAUCUGCGGGAAGUGAAGCCAUGAACUCCAUUAGCGGACUCAAGUAAUCAGAAAAAAAUGGGAUUUCAAGGGCCUGUUUGGGGUUGAUCCCUGAAGCACCCAAGUCAAGAGCUGUUACAUUAUGCCCCGAAGAUCUCAUCAAUGCCACAAUCUUGUACCAGGACCAUGCUCCGUGGAAUGCCGUAUGAACUAGCACAAAAUGCUUCUUAUCUUUAGGGGGUGAUGAAAAGGUUGCAUUUGCAUAGGGCAACAGAGACUCGCUUUUCUCCAUAUCUUUUGAAGGAUAUGAGCACAUAAUAUGAACUAUUACAUGGCAACUUUAUAAUAGGAGGAGUUAGGUUUCUGCCAACUUACUUUCUAUUUUUGGAGGAGUUUUGACUCUUGCCAAUUUACUUCUAUGCAGGAGCAACCCUACAUUAGCUAUUAUUUGCACUAGUU
This 2797-nucleotide long non-coding RNA is filed under the name Solanum tuberosum (potato). Its description in RNAcentral is "long non-coding RNA (STUB_LNC002434)". The record is from RNAcentral. Lineage: Eukaryota; Viridiplantae; Streptophyta; Magnoliopsida; Solanales; Solanaceae.